Molecule: ribosomal RNA, 440 nt
Filed under: uncultured bacterium
Lineage: Bacteria
Description: partial 16S ribosomal RNA
Rfam family: Bacterial small subunit ribosomal RNA
Source: RNAcentral
CCUACGGGUGGCAGCAGUGAGGGAUAUUGCGCAAUGGGCGAAAGCCUGACGCAGCGACGCCGCGUGGGCGAGGAAGGCCUUCGGGUUGUAAAGCCCUUUUGGCAGGGAAGAGCAAGGACUGUACCUGCAGAACAAGUCACGGCUAACUACGUGCCAGCAGCCGCGGUAAUACGUAGGUGGCCAGCGUUAUCCGGAUUCACUGGGCGUAAAGAGCGCGUAGGCGGUGUGCUAAGUUGGACGUGAAAGCCCCCGGCUUAACCGGGGGAGGUCGUCCAAUACUGGUGCACUUGAGGGUGGACGGGGAAAGCGGAAUUCCCGGUGUAGGGGUGAAAUGCGUAGAUAUUGGGAGGAACACCGGUGGCGAAGGCGGCUCUCUGGACCGAUACUGACGCUGAGACGCGAAAGCGUGGGGAGCAAACAGGAUUAGAUACCCCUGUAGU